Molecule: ribosomal RNA, 519 nt
Filed under: uncultured bacterium
Lineage: Bacteria
Description: bacterial SSU rRNA
Rfam family: Bacterial small subunit ribosomal RNA
Source: RNAcentral
AGAGUUUGAUCCUGGCUCAGAUUGAACGCUGGCGGCAUGCCUUACACAUGCAAGUCGAACGGUAACGCGGGGCAACCUGGCGACGAGUGGCGAACGGGUGAGUAAUAUAUCGGAACGUGCCCAGUAGUGGGGGAUAGCCCGGCGAAAGCCGGAUUAAUACCGCAUACGACCUACGGGUGAAAGCGGGGGAUCGCAAGACCUCGCGCUAUUGGAGCGGCCGAUAUCAGAUUAGCUUGUUGGUGGGGUAAAAGCCUACCAAGGCGACGAUCUGUAGCUGGUCUGAGAGGACGACCAGCCACACUGGGACUGAGACACGGCCCAGACUCCUACGGGAGGCAGCAGUGGGGAAUUUUGGACAAUGGGCGCAAGCCUGAUCCAGCCAUGCCGCGUGCGGGAAGAAGGCCUUCGGGUUGUAAACCGCUUUUGUCAGGGAAGAAACGGUCUGAUCUAAUACAUCGGACUAAUGACGGUACCUGAAGAAUAAGCACCGGCUAACUACGUGCCAGCAGCCGCGGUAAU